Molecule: non-coding RNA, 77 nt
Organism: Ctenopharyngodon idella (grass carp)
Lineage: Eukaryota; Metazoa; Chordata; Actinopteri; Cypriniformes; Xenocyprididae
Source: the annotation of a RefSeq genome assembly
ACCAGGAUGGCCGAGUGGUUAAGGCGUUGGACUUAAGAUCCAAUGGACAAAUGUGGGUUCAAACCCCACUCCUGGUA